UGAUAAACUGUAACAGCUUAAAAUCAGUGGACACAGAUUUAUCCAACUAAAUCACCCACAAUAAUUUGGACAUGGCAAGAAAGAAUCUGCAACAAUAAUUAAAAAAGAAAAAACUAAAGGAAAAAGAACUCCCAUUUUGGAUAAAGUUUUUUUUUUUAAAGCUUUAUCCGAAAGCUAAACUAGCAUAAAAAAAAGAAACAACCAGAAAGCUCUGAAGCAAACAGACUGAAGAGCGGUCUGUUGCUCCUUAUAAAGUCUUUAUGGGGGGGGUAAACUGUUGUAUCACCUUGAAGUUAAUAUGCAGAGGUUCUGUUACCUCUAUGUUGUCCUCAGUACUCGAGCUGAGGGGGGAUAGCAUCCCCCUUCUUAAAAAAAAAAAAAAAAUCUUCUUAGAUAACCAUCCCCCCAUACUAUCCCCUGUAUCAUUUAAUUAUUGAAUGUUUAAAAUUUCUACUAUAUAUUAACAGUAACGGCAAUAAUAUUGCCAUUUGAACAUUUGGGCUGUGGGCUUUAAAGAAGUGUUCUACCAUGACUAUGAAGCUGAUCCCGGUGGGAAAUGAGUCCCUAACUGUAGGAGCAGUGAUAGCCAUGCCAGUCCAGGGACUGACUGCAGUUCUACUGUAAGGUGCCUUGGUCACGGUCAAUGACCGGUGUACCUGACAUGUAACAACCAUAGCAUGCAUAGUGCUUUAGGUUAGUAGAAUAUAUUAAUUAGGUUAUAUAUGCUUCCAAAAAAAAAAAAAUCCACCAUACCCACCAUUUUUUUUAAACUAGACUACUGGUUGUUCCCAUGCAGUCACUAAAGAGCUCAUAGUUUUUAGAAGGUGAUGAUGAUCUGCACCAUCGGAUACCAUGGAAAGAAUGUUUUCCAAAGCAGCAUAAGUACAGAGGGCCAAAAAGGUCCGUAGUCUAGAUCAAUGUUCCCUCUGACGUUUCAUGCGUCUGGGUCACUGUGACAUCAUCAGAGCUACUCGCUUUGAACACACACCAAUAUUACACCCAAUUUAAAACCAGAUUCAUAGCAAGUUACAUGGUUUGUUUAAAAAAGUCAGAGUCCUGCUUUGGCCAGGCUGAUGGUCCUGCUCUGGAAGAAAUGAGACACUUUGAUAUAACUGUUUGUUUAUAUUAACAUAUUUACAAUAACAUUUUUGCUUUAGCUUGUGAUACAGUAUUAAUUCAUCUAACUCUUUGUACAAUAUUUAACUACAUGGUUUUAGAGGUUCUACUAACAUAAAUAAUUUAAUAGUAAAGCAUUUCAUGAUGAUAAUAUUCAUUAAUAAUAAAUCUGAUUUAAAUGUUACUCUUUCUUUUUUCACAUCUUGGUUGUCCACUUGUCCUCGUUGUCGGCUCAGUCUGCUUACUGUUUCCUUGAAAUUUGAAUAACAAACAGUUGCUUCUUUUAUCUUCAUUGUUUUAAGUUGAAAAACAAAUCAUUGAAUGAUACAAGGAUUGAAAAUAAUGCAUAAAAAAUGUUACCAGUCUCUUUUAUUUAUGGAACAUUAGUCAUGAUACUUCCACCCCCGUGCUUCUUCUCUCCAUCCUUCUUACCUGGUGUAGAUUCACUCUCCCAGCCUGGUUCAGGUCUACAGUUUGCAUCCUGCUGUCCUUCAGCAGACCUUUGGUGUUUUGGCCUUUGUUGGGUUUGGAGUCAGACUGUUUGAGGCUGUGGACAGGUGUCAUUUAGACAAUGAGUUCCAACAGGAGCCAUUAAAACAAGUAAUGAGUGGAGGACAGAGGAGAAUAAGUUAGAGGUCUCUAAGG
Long non-coding RNA from Cyprinodon tularosa, 1761 nucleotides. RefSeq lists it as uncharacterized. Lineage: Eukaryota; Metazoa; Chordata; Actinopteri; Cyprinodontiformes; Cyprinodontidae. The transcript is spliced from 2 exons. The record is from RefSeq and is a predicted model, not a curated record.